UCCAGACUCCUACGGGAGGCAGCAGUGGGGAAUAUUGCACAAUGGGGGGAACCCUGAUGCAGCGACGCCGCGUGGGUGAAGGAGUACUUCGGUACGUAAAGCCCUAUCAGCAGGAAAGAAAAUGACGGUACCUGACUAAGAAGCCCCGGCUAACUACGUGCCAGCAGCCGCGGUAAUACGUAGGGGGCAAGCGUUAUCCGGAUUUACUGGGUGUAAAGGGAGCGUAGACGGCAGUGCAAGUCCGGAGUGAAAGCCCGGGGCCCAACCCCGGGACUGCCCUUGGAACUGCAUGGCUGGAGUGCGGGAGGGGCAGGCGGAAUUCCUGGUGUAGCGGUGAAAUGCGUAGAUAUCAGGAGGAACACCGGCGGCGAAGGCGGCCUGCUGGACCGCGACUGACGUUGAGGCUCGAAAGUGUGGGGAGCGAACAGGAUUAGAUACCCGGGUACC
Molecule: ribosomal RNA, 447 nt
Filed under: uncultured bacterium
Lineage: Bacteria
Description: bacterial SSU rRNA
Rfam family: Bacterial small subunit ribosomal RNA
Source: RNAcentral